GAUGAACUCCGGCGGAUCCUCGAUCAAGGGAACCCCCACUUCCUACCUGAACUAAAUACCCGGCGGGCGACCUUUUUUGAGAGGGCACAGUUUUAUGGCGUUUUCAAGAAGGUCAUGAGGCCUCCACUGUUGGACAAAGCACAGCAGUCAAUCGCCCUGAUGAAGGCAUUGCCAGACUUAUUUCCAUCACCUGUGGCUCCACCCAAGAAGUUGGGACAUGCAAGUGAGGCUUUGCUUCACAUCCUUAAGCCUACAGAAGACCCCAACACCUUUCUACGAGCAAGACCACUCUCCAGCCCGGUCGUUGUUGUCAGUGAAACUAACUGCAUACUAUCUAUUGGAACCACCCCUGUGUUGACUUUCCCAAAAGAGGAUAUCGAUGCUAGCGUAAUGCAUCUCAUGGCAUGCUAUUACAUCUUUCACCUUACAGAUCCCAAGUGCGUUGGGAUAUACACUCAUGUCUGUGCUGCAGACCGAGGUUCUCCUGGAUGCCAUCCACGACCAGGACAUGACUUCCUCAUAUAGGAAGGCUAUAGGCGAGUGGAAGAAAUUCUUAGCUUAAAGUGGAAAUGAGAGUGGAUAAUCUUGUUUUGGUUUGUUUUGAGGCUGUUUUUUUUUUGCCUUACGUGUUUUUUACUUUUUAGUUUGCUGUUAAGUUCAGCUGCAUGACCUUCCCAAAAAAGGAUAUUGAUGUUAGCACAAUGUAAAAUGGCAUGCAUUAUCUUUCACCUUAGAUAUCCUAAGUGUGCACACUUCUGUCUGCGCAAGUUCUCUUGGAUACUAUCCACAGCCAGGACAUGACUUCCUCAUGUAGAUAGAUGCAUGUUUUUCACUUUUUAGUUUGCUCUUUAAAAAAUCUU
Molecule: long non-coding RNA, 860 nt
Organism: Gadus morhua (Atlantic cod)
Lineage: Eukaryota; Metazoa; Chordata; Actinopteri; Gadiformes; Gadidae
Exons: 3
Source: RefSeq, a predicted model, not a curated record